GUGAUUUCUGGUGUGGCAUCAUCAAGAUUCACACAAUGUAUGGCAUGCAUGCCAUGCUCUCAUCCUUCCCCAUCUGUCCGUGCUUGUGAACUUGAGUUUCGUUCAUGCAUGGGAGAUGGAUGGAUGGAUCGAUGAGCUUUGCUAGCUAGCCAGCGUACUAUGUGUGGGAAUCUUGAUGAUGCUGCAUCGGUGAUCAA
This 197-nucleotide microRNA precursor is filed under the name Hordeum vulgare. Its description in RNAcentral is "mir-172 microRNA precursor family". It matches the Rfam family "mir-172 microRNA precursor family". From Rfam's summary of the family: mir-172 has been experimentally verified in Arabidopsis thaliana. This family is thought to target mRNAs coding for APETALA2-like transcription factors. The record is from RNAcentral. Lineage: Eukaryota; Viridiplantae; Streptophyta; Magnoliopsida; Poales; Poaceae.